Molecule: ribosomal RNA, 376 nt
Filed under: uncultured eukaryote
Lineage: Eukaryota
Description: partial 18S ribosomal RNA
Rfam family: Eukaryotic small subunit ribosomal RNA
Source: RNAcentral
CAAUAGCGUAUAUUAAAGUUGUUGCAGUUAAAAAGCUCGUAGUUGGAUUUUUGUUGAAAGGCAGCAGUCGGCCUUCGGGUGUGUACUUGUUGUGUUUUCGACAUAAUGUCGUUUGAUUGGCUGUUCUUCAUUGAAUGGUUGGAUCACGGCAGUAUUACUUUGAGGAAAUUAGAGUGUUUCAAGCAGGUUAUUGCCUUGAAUACAUUAGCAUGGAAUAAUGAAAUAGGCUUUCGCUCUAUUUUGUUGGUUGAUAGAGCUUAAGACGUGAUUAAUAGGGAUAGUUGGGGGCAUUCGUAUUUGACUGUCAGAGGUGAAAUUCUUGGAUUUGUCAAAGACGAACUACUGCGAAAGCAUUUGUCAAGGAUGUUUUCAUUAA